UCAGUCGUGGGUGCACUNCCCCGCAGGCCAGCAUCAGCUCGCUGCAGGGAGAAAAGGCGGCGGGAACGUGGCUCUGGAGUGUUAUAGCAUGCCCUCCAGCGGGCUGAGGUUCGCGCCUGGCAAGGAUGCUGGCGUAAUGGCCAUCAGCGACCCGUCUUGAAACACGGACCAAGGAGUCGUCCUAGCAUGCGAGUGUUCGGGUGCAAAACCCCUACGCGAAAUGAAAGUGAACGGAGGUGAGAGCUUGGCGCAUCAUCGACCGAUCCUGAUGUUUUCGGAUGGAUUUGAGUAGGAGCAUGCUGGGCCGGACCCGAAAAAGGUGAACUAUGCUUGGAUAGGGCAAAGCCAGAGGAAACUCUGGUGGAGGCUCGCAGCGGUUCUGACGUGCAAAUCGAUCGUCAAAUCUGAGCAUGGAAAGACUAAUCGAACCUUAGUAGCUGGUUUCCGCCGAAGUUUCCCUCAGGAUAGCAGUGUGAGCUUCAGUUUUAUGAGGUAAAGCGAAUGAUUAGGGACUCGGGGGGCUAUUUAGCCUUCAUCCAUUCUCAAACUUUAAAUAUGUAAGAAGCCCUCGUUGCUUCGGUGAACGUGGGCAUUCGAAUGGCACUAGUGGGCCAUUUUUGGUAAGCAGAACUGGCGAUGCGGGAUGAACCGAUCGCGAGGAUAAGGUGCCAGAGUAGACGCUCAUCAGACACCACAAAAGGUGUUAUCACAUCUUGACAGCAGGACGGUGGCCAUGGAAGUCGGAAUCCGCUAAGGACUAACAACUCACCUGCCGAAUGUGAUAGCCCUGAAAAUGGAUGGCGCUCAAGCGUCUCACCCAUACCUCGCCUUCAGGGUAGACACUAUGCCCUGAAGAGUAGGCGGA
RNAcentral lists this ribosomal RNA (865 nucleotides) under Corollospora maritima. RNAcentral's name for it is "eukaryotic LSU rRNA". It matches the Rfam family "Eukaryotic large subunit ribosomal RNA", at positions 469 to 1389 of the family's 3401-position model. Lineage: Eukaryota; Fungi; Ascomycota; Sordariomycetes; Microascales; Halosphaeriaceae. The record is from RNAcentral.